This is a long non-coding RNA of Magnolia sinica, 678 nucleotides long. RefSeq lists it as uncharacterized. The record is from RefSeq and is a predicted model, not a curated record. The transcript has 3 exons. NCBI's taxonomy places the organism in Eukaryota, Viridiplantae, Streptophyta, Magnoliopsida, Magnoliales, Magnoliaceae.
AGUGGGUUACGGGAGAAUUUGCUGACAGGAACAUUAUCUCCUGAUAUUUGCCAAUUGACUGGCCUAUGGUACUUUGAUGUGAGGGGCAAUAACAUCUCAGGAACCAUACUGGAUAACAUUGGGAAUUGUACAAGCUACGAAAUCCUGUAAGAUGGCUGGCAUUCCUUUUGAUGUGGGUGUUGUUCUUAUUCUUUCUUCAAUUGUUUAUGGUCUAUUGACUGUUAUGACUUCCAAGGAUAUUUCUUACAAUCAAAUCACUGGAGAGAUUCCUUACAACAUUAGUUUCCUACAAGUAGCUACAUUGUCUCUUUAGGGAAAUAGGCUUACUGGGAAGAUUCCAAAAGUGAUAGGACUCAUGCAAGCUCCUGCUGUUUUGUAAGUUUUGUACUGUCUUCCCAAAUUCUUUUCAUUUUUUUUUCAAAAUUUCUUUUCUUCCUAAAUAACUGCAUGCAUCUUUUAUUGUGCUAUGAAGAAAACAUUCCAGCGGGUGCCACUUUUGUAUUAGUAUUAACCUUCAAUGUCAGCUUUUCAUUAAACUAUCAUCAUUACCUUAAGCUUUCAUGUAGCAAUUUGGGUUGUGCUUUAAAUGGUUGGCAGAAGUCCUAUGAUAUAUCUGUUGACCAUACCACAUGCUCUCUCAUUUACCUGGCAUUGGAAUUGGCCAUGGGAGAGGUGAAU